RNAcentral lists this unclassified non-coding RNA (535 nucleotides) under Hevea brasiliensis (rubber tree). The record is from RNAcentral. Lineage: Eukaryota; Viridiplantae; Streptophyta; Magnoliopsida; Malpighiales; Euphorbiaceae.
CACCCUGAAAAGAUCUCCUAGUGCUCCACGAAUUUCCAUCUGAUCACAACACACAAGUUUCGUAAGCAAAGGAUAGAAGUCUCUCAAAUGUCUUCUGAAAAUCUUGUCGUUCAUAAAGCACAUGCUUUUAAGCACCUUGACAAUGAUUGGUGACCGUAACUCAAGAACUUGAUGAACAUCCAUGUUAGUAGUCUCCCCAACAGAGGACUGAAGAUCAGAUGCUUCCUUGAGCACCUGUUCACAGAAAGAGACUAAUUUCGCUUCUGCUAUUCCUUCAAGUUUCUCAUCCCCAGUGCCAUCUUCAGUGACAUUUGAAUUAUUUUGCGCUGGAGUAAUAUCAACAUCUUCAGAAACAUUAGAUUCCAUGAGUUGCCCCUUGUUGGCACAGAAACCUGAAGUUGUUUUCUGUAAUACAUCAAGAUAUAUGCUAGUUCCCGCUAAUUCUUGACGAAGAAGGUUUAGAGGCAGCCUCUCAACAGCAAUGUGGCGCAUUCGCAUUCUGAGGUUUGGAUAUGAAUUAUAUGAAGCAGCAAAC